This 138-nucleotide small nucleolar RNA is filed under the name Ornithorhynchus anatinus (platypus). The record is from RNAcentral. Lineage: Eukaryota; Metazoa; Chordata; Mammalia; Monotremata; Ornithorhynchidae.
ACCCUCUCAGGAUCGCACCUGGAGAGUUUCCAGUGCUCUACCAGUCUCGGCUACAAGAGGGAGAGUCAAGCGGAGGCAUACCCAUUCCAUUUUUAGCUUGGGCAGUGGCUAGCGAGUGGAAAGAAAUCUGCUACACGU